Molecule: ribosomal RNA, 406 nt
Filed under: uncultured bacterium
Lineage: Bacteria
Description: partial 16S ribosomal RNA
Rfam family: Bacterial small subunit ribosomal RNA
Source: RNAcentral
AUUGAACGCUGGCGGCAGGCCUAACACAUGCAAGUCGAACGAGUGGCGGACGGGUGAGUAAUGUCUGGGAAACUGCCCGAUGGAGGGGGAUAACUACUGGAAACGGUCGCUAAUACCGCAUACCAUCGGAUGUGCCAAGAUGGGAUUGGCUAGUGGGGGGGGUAACGGCUCACCUCGGAGACGAUCCCUAGCUGGUCUGAGAGGAUGACCAGCCAAACGUGAACUGAGCAACGGUCCAGACUCCUACGGGAGGCAGCAGUGGGGAAUAUUGCACAAUGGGCGCAAGCCUGAUGCAGCCAUGCCGCGUAUAUGAAGAAGGCCUUCGGGUUGUAAAGUACUUUCAGCGAGGAGGCGUUACUCGCAGAAGAAGCACCGGCUAACUCCGUGCCAGCAGCCGCGGUAAUAC